RNAcentral lists this ribosomal RNA (624 nucleotides) under Bradyrhizobium japonicum. RNAcentral describes it as "bacterial SSU rRNA". It matches the Rfam family "Bacterial small subunit ribosomal RNA", at positions 58 to 726 of the family's 1533-position model. The record is from RNAcentral. Lineage: Bacteria; Pseudomonadati; Pseudomonadota; Alphaproteobacteria; Hyphomicrobiales; Nitrobacteraceae.
CAAGUCGAGCGGGCGUAGCAAUACGUCAGCGGCAGACGGGUGAGUAACGCGUGGGAACGUACCUUUUGGUUCGGAACAACACAGGGAAACUUGUGCUAAUACCGGAUAAGCCCUUACGGGGAAAGAUUUAUCGCCGAAAGAUCGGCCCGCGUCUGAUUAGCUAGUUGGUAGGGUAACGGCCUACCAAGGCGACGAUCAGUAGCUGGUCUGAGAGGAUGAUCAGCCACAUUGGGACUGAGACACGGCCCAAACUCCUACGGGAGGCAGCAGUGGGGAAUAUUGGACAAUGGGGGCAACCCUGAUCCAGCCAUGCCGCGUGAGUGAUGAAGGCCCUAGGGUUGUAAAGCUCUUUUGUGCGGGAAGAUAAUGACGGUACCGCAAGAAUAAGCCCCGGCUAACUUCGUGCCAGCAGCCGCGGUAAUACGAAGGGGGCUAGCGUUGCUCGGAAUCACUGGGCGUAAAGGGUGCGUAGGCGGGUCUUUAAGUCAGGGGUGAAAUCCUGGAGCUCAACUCCAGAACUGCCUUUGAUACUGAAGAUCUUGAGUUCGGGAGAGGUGAGUGGAACUGCGAGUGUAGAGGUGAAAUUCGUAGAUAUUCGCAAGAACACCAGUGGCGAAGGCGGCU